This is a long non-coding RNA of Clupea harengus (Atlantic herring), 737 nucleotides long. RefSeq lists it as uncharacterized. Lineage: Eukaryota; Metazoa; Chordata; Actinopteri; Clupeiformes; Clupeidae. The record is from RefSeq and is a predicted model, not a curated record. The transcript has 3 exons.
ACUGAUCGGGUAGUGCGCAUGCGCGACUACCACCCGGUAGUGACAAGCGUAAAACGAAUCUUACGGAUAGCGCCUUGGUUUGAUCAGUAGAAAUUGUUGGUAUUAUUGUGUAAUAGACUGCAUUCCCUGCAGGCGAACGUCAAUCGUAAUACUUCUAAAUCCCGAGGCGUUUAAAAGGAACCGAAGACGACUGUAGGAGAAGUUUAAAAGCGAGCAUAUGGGACUGUUACCGCGACUGACCGACGCCUAACAACUUUGUGUGGAGCUCACUUUUUCUUAGAACUGAAGUCGGAAAUGUCAGGACAUACUGAAACAUCACAACUGCUCAUGUCAGUGAAGGAAGAGAUCAAAGAAGAAGAAUUUGAUGAGUAUCUUUCUGCAAUUCCGAAAGUGGAAGAAAGCCUGGACUGGAAGCUGACUGUAAGACUGAAAUAUACACAUCACCAAUCUUGACCCACAAAGAAGAUGAGUAUUCACCAGUGGAAAUGAAACAGGAGGAAACAUCUGAUUUGAGAGAAUAUGGUCACCAUGACUCUACUCCUACAGUUCUCUACAUGUCUCUGAAUCUCUGCUUACAUUUACAGUGCAGUCUGUAAGUGGAUCAUUUUAUCCUAAAGGACUUCCAAGUACUAUUCUAGCAAAUAGCCAGUCAUUGAAAAGCACAUUACAAAAAAUACAAUACAUGUGUUUUCAGUGUUGUAGUGCUAAUGUAACAAAUAAAGUAGAGUGAGGAUAUU